GUCCUCGCAUCCACGCUGGUCGGCGAAUCCAUGCACGUCCACCAGGUGGCACUGUGACUGAGAGUGUGUGCCGGCCUCUGAAUCACAUCUGGACCAGAGUUUAAUCACAAGCAAAAUUUCAGCCAGAUUGGAGCAUGUUCAGACUAGUUAUACAGCAUUUCCUGCCCAUCCACCACCAGGUGGCGCUGUAACUCAGAGUGUAUUUCAAACAGUGGAUGUGAUGAGGGUUGGACUCUGAUCAGUCAUGAAAAGUUUCAGGCUGAUUUGACCAUGUAGAGGCCAGUUGUACAGCAUUUACUGUCCAUCCAACAGGUGGCACUGCGACUGAGAGUGUCUGUUGGCCUGUAGAUGUGAUCAGGAUUGAAUUGUGAUCACACAUGGAAAGUUUGAGGCAGAUUGGAGCAUGCAGAGGAGAGUUAUACAGCAGUUGAUGUUUCUUGGCGAAGCAUCAAAACUCUAAUGGUCGCCAUGGCCACGCCAUUUGGAUUCUGGUUAAACUUUUGAUAACUUUUCAUCACCAAGUCCUGCUGUGUGGACUGACAAAAUUUCAGGUCUCCUGGAAUUAUCCCCGAGGAGGUAUUAACUCUCAAAAAUGAGAAAAAUCAUCAAAAAUCUCACAAUUAAUCCAAGAUGGCCGACUUCCUGUUGGGUUUAGGACAUGGCUCCAAGAGGCUUUUUUGUGCGUCCUGAUGUGCUCUAUAAGCCUCCCAAAUUUCAUGGAUGUAGGUGAAAUGUGCUGGGGGGGCUGUUUGUUAAAAAUACUGUAGGGGGCGCUAUAGCAUGUGCAGUGCCGAGAUGCAUACGGUGUCGUUCCUUGGGUCGAUGGUGAUGUGUGUGGUAAUUUUAGUGAGCAUUGGAGUAUUUCUAACCUGUCAAAGAGCACUUUGUUUUGCAUGGCGAUAUUUGGUUGCUACGGCAACAGCGUUGCAUGAAAUGUCACACCCUUGACAAUGUGGGAUUGUCAAGAGGUGAAGACUCGACUGACCAAUUUCCAGCAUGAUAUCACCACGUUUGGGGCCAUUGUACCUGAAAAUAUAAGGCCUUAAACUUACUA
Molecule: long non-coding RNA, 1054 nt
Organism: Acanthochromis polyacanthus (spiny chromis)
Lineage: Eukaryota; Metazoa; Chordata; Actinopteri; Pomacentridae
Exons: 3
Source: RefSeq, a predicted model, not a curated record